Molecule: small nucleolar RNA, 140 nt
Organism: Macaca nemestrina (pig-tailed macaque)
Lineage: Eukaryota; Metazoa; Chordata; Mammalia; Primates; Cercopithecidae
Source: Ensembl
CACCUCCUGGUGCUUAACCACAGGCUGUAUUCUUACACUGACUAGAUAGAUAGAGGAGAUAGAGUAAACCUACCCCAUAUAUACUUCAGCCCACGCUUUGUGCCUGUUCUGUAUUAUGAAGCGUUUGGGGGCGUGCAUAG